AGAGUUUGAUCCUGGCUCAGAUUGAACGCUGGCGGCGUGCUUAAUACAUGCAAGUCGAGCGGUAACAGGUGUAGCAAUACAUGCUGACGAGCGGCGAACGGGUGAGUAAUGCUUCGGAAUCUACCUAGUAGUGGGGAAUAACUAAUCGAAAGGUUAGCUAAUGCCGCAUACGACCUAUGGGUGAAAGCGGGGGAUCGUAA
Molecule: ribosomal RNA, 200 nt
Filed under: uncultured bacterium
Lineage: Bacteria
Description: partial 16S ribosomal RNA
Rfam family: Bacterial small subunit ribosomal RNA
Source: RNAcentral